GAUGAACGCUGGCGGCGUGCCUAAUACAUGCAAGUCGAGCGAACAGACGAGGAGCUUGCUCCUCUGACGUUAGCGGCGGACGGGUGAGUAACACGUGGAUAACCUACCUAUAAGACUGGGAUAACUUCGGGAAACCGGAGCUAAUACCGGAUAAUAUAUUGAACCGCAUGGUUCAAUAGUGAAAGACGGUUUUGCUGUCACUUAUAGAUGUAUCCGCGCCGCAUUAGCUAGUUGGUAAGGUAACGGCUUACCAAGGCAACGAUGCGUAGCCGACCUGAGAGGGUGAUCGGCCACACUGGAACUGAGACACGGUCCAGACUCCUACGGGAGGCAGCAGUAGGGAAUCUUCCGCAAUGGGCGAAAGCAUGACGGAGCAACGCCGCGUGAGUGAUGAAGGUCUUCGGAUCGUAAAACUCUGUUAUUAGGGAAGAACAAAUGUGUAAGUAACUAUGCACGUCUUGACGGUACCUAAUCAGAAAGCCACGGCUAACUACGUG
This 497-nucleotide ribosomal RNA is filed under the name uncultured bacterium. RNAcentral's name for it is "partial 16S ribosomal RNA". It matches the Rfam family "Bacterial small subunit ribosomal RNA", at positions 28 to 507 of the family's 1533-position model. The record is from RNAcentral.